This 379-nucleotide unclassified non-coding RNA is filed under the name uncultured bacterium. Its description in RNAcentral is "contains 16S-23S intergenic spacer region". The record is from RNAcentral.
UCCGAGUUCUCCCCGGCAGUCCCCCACGAGUCCCCGGCAUCAUCCGCUGGCAACAUGGGGCAAGGGUUGCGCUCGUUGCGGGACUUAACCCAACAUCUCACGACACGAGCUGACGACAGCCAUGCAGCACCUGUCACUCGGUUCCCGAAGGCACCCCUCCGUCUCCAGAGGGUUCCGAGGAUGUCAAGGGCUGGUAAGGUUCUUCGCGUUGCAUCGAAUUAAACCACAUGCUCCACCGCUUGUGCGAGCCCCCGUCAAUUCCUUUGAGUUUUAGCCUUGCGGCCGUACUCCCCAGGCGGGGCGCUUAAUGCGUUAGCUUCGGCACAGAAGGGGUCGAUACCCCCCACACCUAGCGCCCAUCGUUUACGGCUGGGACUAC